CACCGGCAGCUCAAGUGGUAGCCGCUUUUAUUGGGCCUAAAGCGUCCGUAGCCGGUCUGAUAAGUCUCUGGUGAAAUCCCACAGCUUAACUGUGGGAAUUGCUGGAGAUACUAUCAUGACUCGAGGUCGGGAGAGGCUGGAGGUACUCCCAGGGUAGGGGUGAAAUCCUGUAAUCCUGGGAGGACCACCUGUGGCGAAGGCGUCCAGCUGGAACGAACCUGACGGUGAGGUGCGAAAGUGUGGGGAUCAA
This 250-nucleotide ribosomal RNA is filed under the name uncultured archaeon. RNAcentral describes it as "partial 16S ribosomal RNA". It matches the Rfam family "Archaeal small subunit ribosomal RNA", at positions 474 to 722 of the family's 1478-position model. The record is from RNAcentral. RNAcentral also lists the same sequence under 1 other name.